CCCAGGGUCUUACACAAGCUAGGGUGAACAGUUAAGCUCCUGAAUAGCCCUUGGCCAACAUCCUUCUGCUUUUUCUGAGCCCUCCUGAUGAAUGGCCUGAAUAGAAACUGUCUUCUCCCAGCAGAGGCAGGAAGCUGAUUCGGCUCCCGGAAGACUGGGCAAUGGCUGGCAAAAGCUUACAAGGAAGAAAACAGGCUUGAUGGAUUGCGAAGGGAAGCAGUUGGGUGUGAUGCUACUGAACACAGUUCUAUAGAUUGGAGUUAUUCCACAACACUAUGGAUGCUCUCUGAGUUCAUGAGUCAUGGUGACGAAGGCAUAGACUUUUGUGGAAUGGCAUCAUUUGUGAAAACUCUUUCUUCACUUUUGUGAGACAAGGUCUCUCUGUGUAAUCCUGGUUGUUCUGGAACUCACUCAGUAGCCCAAGCUGGCCUCAAAUUCACAGACUUUCUCCUGCCUCCACCUAUGGAGUGCUGGGAUUAAACAUGUGUGCCACUACUGCCCAACUAAUGAUAGUGAUUAUUAAAGCCAGGAAACUUAGAAGGAGGAGGAAUAGGAGGAAGAAGAACAAGAGGGGGGGAGGGAGGAAUGGAUUAAGGAAAGAAGGAAGGAAGGAAGGAAGGAAGGAAGGAAGGAAGGAAGGAAGGAAGGAAGGAAGGAAGGAAGGGUGAUGGUUGAGACCUUUCUGAAUAAGUCAAGGAAAAAACAUGGCCACCUAUACCUGAGAUCAUCCUCUCUCACUCAUUCCCUGUUCUGCUCCGCACAUCUAUGGCAGAGUCCCAGGGCACCCUGGGUGGUUCCCAGGCUUCUGGAAAAGUGUCCCUCCCUAGCAUGAAUAGAUAACAGCCUCAAGACUUGAAAAUUCCUGGAAGAUCUUCAGUGGUCACACCACAGUCUCUUUGUCACCAACCUCCCAGACUUGUCCAUAUCCAUGUGCACACUUGUGGGGGACGUGACUAGAUCUAAGGUGAUCUGCAGUCCUCUACUACUUUUGAUGUUGAGGACUGAGCUAAGGAAAUAUUUCCCAUUUCUUCUUUAGUAGAAUCUAAGGAAAUACUUUAGAUAUUUCUCCAAAUUAUCUUCCAUGGAACUUUUGUAAAGAAUUCUUUAUCGACUGGGAAGGAGAUUUAUGCUGGGGACCUGCUCCAGCUGGGGCUGAAGUGGGACACAGCAUUGGAUGAAGGUCAAAGACUGAUGACCCUUGGCCUUAUAAUAAUAUUUCAAUUUGUGCUUUAACAAUG
Long non-coding RNA from Apodemus sylvaticus (European woodmouse), 1238 nucleotides. RefSeq lists it as uncharacterized. NCBI's taxonomy places the organism in Eukaryota, Metazoa, Chordata, Mammalia, Rodentia, Muridae. The record is from RefSeq and is a predicted model, not a curated record. The transcript has 2 exons.